Molecule: long non-coding RNA, 604 nt
Organism: Pezoporus occidentalis (night parrot)
Lineage: Eukaryota; Metazoa; Chordata; Aves; Psittaciformes; Psittacidae
Exons: 3
Source: RefSeq, a predicted model, not a curated record
ACCCCAGGCCCCACAGGGCAGAGGCGCGCCGCGGGGAGGACUCCGGCCGCUUCCGUGGCCCUCUCCUCUGCCGUAGUUGUUGGCGCUCUGGCCGGUUCUCCCCCUUCUCUUGCACCGCGUUGUCGGAGAGCCGCUGGGGAUGGAUAGGGAGGUGGGAAGCGCCUCCCGGGGUGCUGCGGACCGGGCCGAGCCUGGUCCGGGGCAGUGGGUUCGGGUCCGGGCCCCUCUCCCGGUCUGGCUCCCGGGUCCGCUCUCGGCAGCGCCGCCAGCCGGCCCCCGGCAGCAGCGCUCGCCGCGGACAGCCCGUUUUUCAAAAAACCAUGUGAGUCACCGCUCUGAGACAUAACACUACAGGCACCCGAUAAAUGCGGACAGAGGCUUGAAUGCGGAUCCGCCGAUAUUAACCUCCGCUUGGCAAACAUCAGAAUAAAGUCAAAUCCUAGAAACAAACAAAACUCUGGAAUCAGCAGACGAAAAGAAGGGGUGAAAAUGUGUCUUGAAGGAAAUAAAACAGAUAAAAGCACUUUCUCAAACGGUCAAACUACACCCGUGGAAAUUGGAACAAAACCCAGCAGAAAAUCCAAUAAAUAUUAAAAUUGCGGUA